RNAcentral lists this ribosomal RNA (565 nucleotides) under uncultured Glomeromycotina. RNAcentral describes it as "SSU rRNA". It matches the Rfam family "Eukaryotic small subunit ribosomal RNA", at positions 548 to 1114 of the family's 1831-position model. The record is from RNAcentral. Lineage: Eukaryota; Fungi; Glomeromycota.
UUGGAGGGCAAGUCUGGUGCCAGCAGCCGCGGUAAUUCCAGCUCCAAUAGCGUAUAUUAAAGUUGUUGCAGUUAAAAAGCUCGUAGUUGAAUUUCGGGGCUAGUAGGUUGGUCAUGCCACUGGUAUGUACUGGUCUCACUGAUUCCUCCUUCCUGAUGAGCCGUAAUGCCAUUAAUUUGGUGUUGCGAGGAAUCCGGACUGUUACUUUGAAAAAAUUAGAGUGUUUAAAGCAAGCUAACGCUUGAAUACAUUAGCAUGGAAUAAUGAAAUAGGACGUUCGAUCCUAUUUUGUUGGUUUCUAGGAUUGACGUAAUGAUUAAUAGGGAUAGUUGGGGGCAUUAGUAUUCAAUUGUCAGAGGUGAAAUUCUUGGAUUUAUUGAAGACUAACUACUGCGAAAGCGUUUGCCAAGGAUGUUUUCAUUAAUCAAGAACGAAAGUUAGGGGAUCGAAGACGAUCAGAUACCGUCGUAGUCUUAACCAUAAACUAUGCCGACUAGGGAUCGGAUGAUGUUAAUUUUUUAAUGACUCAUUCGGCGCCUUACGGGAAACCAAAGUGUUUGGGUUC